Molecule: ribosomal RNA, 434 nt
Filed under: uncultured Anaerostipes sp.
Lineage: Bacteria; Bacillati; Bacillota; Clostridia; Lachnospirales; Lachnospiraceae
Description: partial 16S ribosomal RNA
Rfam family: Bacterial small subunit ribosomal RNA
Source: RNAcentral
ACGGGAGGCAGCAGUGGGGAAUAUUGCACAAUGGGGGAAACCCUGAUGCAGCGACGCCGCGUGAGUGAAGAAGUUAUUCGUAAUGUAAAGCUCUAUCAGCAGGGAAGAAAAUGACGGUACCUGACUAAGAAGCCCCGGCUAACUACGUGCCAGCAGCCGCGGUAAUACGUAGGUAGCAAGCGUUGUCCGGAAUGACUGGGCGUAAAGGGUGCGUAGGUUGCUUGGUAAGUUGGUAGUGAAAUUCCGAGGCUUAACUUCGGCGCUACUAUCAAGACUGCUGAGCUUGAGUACAGGAGAGGUAAGUGGAAUUCCUAGUGUAGCGGUGGAAUGCGUAGAUAUUAGGAGGAACACCAGUGGCGAAGGCGACUUACUGGCCUGCAACUGACACUGAGGCACGAAAGCGUGGGGAGCAAACAGGAUUAGAUACCCUGGUA